CCAACGUUUUUCAAAAGA
This 18-nucleotide small nuclear RNA is filed under the name Arabidopsis thaliana (thale cress). RNAcentral's name for it is "snRNA_06618". Lineage: Eukaryota; Viridiplantae; Streptophyta; Magnoliopsida; Brassicales; Brassicaceae. The record is from RNAcentral.